UGGACCGAUGAUGAUGACUGAUGGUGAGUUCUGUACGAUGAGCACCAUAUGUCUGGACCUCUGAGGUCCAG
This is a non-coding RNA of Fukomys damarensis (Damara mole-rat), 71 nucleotides long. Lineage: Eukaryota; Metazoa; Chordata; Mammalia; Rodentia; Bathyergidae. The record is from Rfam.